This 588-nucleotide ribosomal RNA is filed under the name uncultured bacterium. Its description in RNAcentral is "bacterial SSU rRNA". It matches the Rfam family "Bacterial small subunit ribosomal RNA", at positions 57 to 642 of the family's 1533-position model. The record is from RNAcentral.
GCAAGUCGAACGGUAACAUUUCUAGCUUGCUAGAAGAUGACGAGUGGCGGACGGGUGAGUAAUGCUUGGGAACUUGCCUUUGCGAGGGGGAUAACAGUUGGAAACGACUGCUAAUACCGCAUAAUGUCUACGGACCAAACGGGGCUUAGGCUCCGGCGCAAAGAGAGGCCCAAGUGAGAUUAGCUAGUUGGUAAGGUAACGGCUUACCAAGGCGACGAUCUCUAGCUGUUCUGAGAGGAAGAUCAGCCACACUGGGACUGAGACACGGCCCAGACUCCUACGGGAGGCAGCAGUGGGGAAUAUUGCACAAUGGGGGGAACCCUGAUGCAGCCAUGCCGCGUGUGUGAAGAAGGCCUUCGGGUUGUAAAGCACUUUCAGUUGUGAGGAAAAGUUAGUAGUUAAUACCUGCUAGCCGUGACGUUAACAACAGAAGAAGCACCGGCUAACUCCGUGCCAGCAGCCGCGGUAAUACGGAGGGUGCGAGCGUUAAUCGGAAUUACUGGGCGUAAAGCGCACGCAGGCGGUUUGUUAAGCUAGAUGUGAAAGCCCCGGGCUCAACCUGGGAUGGUCAUUUAGAACUGGCAGACU